GAUGAACGCUGGCGGCGUGCCUAAUACAUGCAAGUCGAGCGAACAGACGAGGAGCUUGCUCCUCUGACGUUAGCGGCGGACGGGUGAGUAACACGUGGAUAACCUACCUAUAAGACUGGGAUAACUUCGGGAAACCGGAGCUAAUACCGGAUAAUAUAUUGAACCGCAUGGUUCAAUAGUGAAAGACGGUUUUGCUGUCACUUAUAGAUGGAUCCGCGCCGCAUUAGCUAGUUGGUAAGGUAACGGCUUACCAAGGCAACGAUGCGUAGCCGACCUGAGAGGGUGAUCGGCCACACUGGAACUGAGACACGGUCCAGACUCCGACGGGAGGCAGCAGUAGGGAAUCGGCCGCAAGGGGCGAAAGCCUGACGGAGCAACGCCGCGUGAGUGAUGAAGGUCUGCGGAUAGUAAAACGCUGUUAGUAGGGAAGAACAAAUGGGUAAGUAACUAUGCACGUCUUGACGGUACCUAAUCAGAAAGCCACGGCUAACUACG
Molecule: ribosomal RNA, 495 nt
Filed under: uncultured bacterium
Lineage: Bacteria
Description: partial 16S ribosomal RNA
Rfam family: Bacterial small subunit ribosomal RNA
Source: RNAcentral